GAUGAACGUUGGCGGUGUGCCUAAUACAUGCAAGUCGAACGGAGACUGUAGCAAUACUGUCUUAGUGGCGAACGGGUGAGUAACGCGUUGGUGAUCUGCCUCGAAGUGUGGAAUAACCUCCCGAAAGGGAAGCUAAUACCGCAUAGUCUCUCAAGGUUUAGAAAAUUGAGAGUAAAGGAUUUAUUCGCUUCGAGAGGAGCCUGCGUCCCAUCAGCUAGUUGGUAGGGUAACGGCCUACCAAGGCAAUGACGGGUAGGGGACCUGAGAGGGUGGCCCCCCACAAUGGAACUGAAACACGGUCCAUACACCUACGGGUGGCAGCAGUAGGGAAUAUUAGAAAUGGGCGGAAGCCUGAUCUAGCAACACCGCGUGUGCGAUGAAGGCCUUGGGUCGUAAAGCACUUUUUGGAGGGAAUAGGAAGGAAGGUACCUCCAGAAUAAGUCUCGGCUAACUACGUGCCAGCAGCCGCGGUAAGCACGAGAGUA
RNAcentral lists this ribosomal RNA (485 nucleotides) under uncultured bacterium. RNAcentral's name for it is "bacterial SSU rRNA". It matches the Rfam family "Bacterial small subunit ribosomal RNA", at positions 28 to 534 of the family's 1533-position model. The record is from RNAcentral.